This 1014-nucleotide ribosomal RNA is filed under the name Alternaria alternata. Its description in RNAcentral is "SSU rRNA". It matches the Rfam family "Eukaryotic small subunit ribosomal RNA", at positions 59 to 1084 of the family's 1831-position model. Lineage: Eukaryota; Fungi; Ascomycota; Dothideomycetes; Pleosporales; Pleosporaceae. The record is from RNAcentral.
AUCAUUUGUUAGCAAUUAUACCGUGAAACUGCGAAUGGCUCAUUAAAUCAGUUAUCGUUUAUUUGAUAAUACCUUACUACUUGGAUAACCGUGGUAAUUCUAGAGCUAAUACAUGCUGAAAAUCCCGACUUCGGAAGGGAUGUGUUUAUUAGAUAAAAAACCAAUGCCCUUCGGGGCUUUUUGGUGAUUCAUGAUAACUUUACGGAUCGCAUAGCCUUGCGCUGGCGACGGUUCAUUCAAAUUUCUGCCCUAUCAACUUUCGAUGGUAAGGUAUUGGCUUACCAUGGUUUCAACGGGUAACGGGGAAUUAGGGUUCGAUUCCGGAGAGGGAGCCUGAGAAACGGCUACCACAUCCAAGGAAGGCAGCAGGCGCGCAAAUUACCCAAUCCCGACACGGGGAGGUAGUGACAAUAAAUACUGAUACAGGGCUCUUUUGGGUCUUGUAAUUGGAAUGAGUACAAUUUAAACCUCUUAACGAGGAACAAUUGGAGGGCAAGUCUGGUGCCAGCAGCCGCGGUAAUUCCAGCUCCAAUAGCGUAUAUUAAAGUUGUUGCAGUUAAAAAGCUCGUAGUUGAAACUUGGGCCUGGCUGGCGGGUCCGCCUCACCGCGUGCACUCGUCCGGCCGGGCCUUCCUUCUGAAGAACCUCAUGCCCUUCACUGGGCGUGCUGGGGAAUCAGGACUUUUACUUUGAAAAAAUUAGAGUGUUCAAAGCAGGCCUUUGCUCGAAUACGUUAGCAUGGAAUAAUAAAAUAGGGCGUGCGUUUCUAUUUUGUUGGUUUCUAGAGACGCCGCAAUGAUUAACAGGAACAGUCGGGGGCAUCAGUAUUCAGUUGUCAGAGGUGAAAUUCUUGGAUUUACUGAAGACUAACUACUGCGAAAGCAUUUGCCAAGGAUGUUUUCAUUAAUCAGUGAACGAAAGUUAGGGGAUCGAAGACGAUCAGAUACCGUCGUAAUCUUAACCGUAACUAUGCCGACUAGGGAUCGGGCGAUGUUCUUUUCUGACUCCCUCGGA